RNAcentral lists this ribosomal RNA (434 nucleotides) under uncultured Lachnospiraceae bacterium. Its description in RNAcentral is "partial 16S ribosomal RNA". It matches the Rfam family "Bacterial small subunit ribosomal RNA", at positions 341 to 792 of the family's 1533-position model. Lineage: Bacteria; Bacillati; Bacillota; Clostridia; Lachnospirales; Lachnospiraceae. The record is from RNAcentral.
ACGGGAGGCAGCAGUGGGGGAUAUUGCACAAUGGGGGAAACCCUGAUGCAGCGACGCCGCGUGAGUGAAGAAGUAUUUCGGUAUGUAAAGCUCUUUAAGUUGGGAAGAUAAUGACGGUACCAACAGAAUAAGCCCCGGCUAACUACGUGCCAGCAGCCGCGGUAAUACGUAGGGGGCAAGCGUUAUCCGGAUUUACUGGGUGUAAAGGGCGUGUAGGCGGAACUGCAAGUCAGAUGUGAAAUCCCGGGGCUCAACCCCGGAACUGCAUUUGAAACUGUAGUCCUUGAGUAUCGGAGAGGCAAGCGGAAUUCCUAGUGUAGCGGUGAAAUGCGUAGAUAUUAGGAGGAACACCAGUGGCGAAGGCGGCUUGCUGGACGACAACUGACGCUGAGGCGCGAAAGCGUGGGGAGCAAACAGGAUUAGAUACCCUGGUA